Molecule: ribosomal RNA, 728 nt
Filed under: Commiphora monstruosa
Lineage: Eukaryota; Viridiplantae; Streptophyta; Magnoliopsida; Sapindales; Burseraceae
Description: eukaryotic LSU rRNA
Rfam family: 5.8S ribosomal RNA (bases 306-461)
Source: RNAcentral
CGUAACAAGGUUUCCGUAGGUGAACCUGCGGAAGGAUCAUUGUCGAAACCUGCCCAACAAGCAGAACGACCCGCGAACCCGUGACAGAAAACACCGGGAGGGGCGGCGCGAGCCAACCCUCCCGCCCGCGUCGCGGGGGUCGGAGGCGUCCCGUCCGCGGGCGUCGUUCCGUGCCCCCGCGGUGCAACAACGAACCCGGCGCGGACCGCGCCAAGGAAGCCAUUAACGAGAGAGCCCGUCGAGCGUCGCCCCGGAGACGGUGCGCGUGCGAUCGGCGGUGCCUUCUUUCUUUCAUGAUCCAAAACGACUCUCGGCAACGGAUAUCUAGGCUCUCGCAUCGAUGAAGAACGUMGAGAAAUGCGAUACUUGGUGUGAAUUGCAGAAUCCCGUGAACCAUCGAGUCUUUGAACGCAAGUUGCGCCCCAAGCCUUUAGGCCGAGGGCACGUCUGCCUGGGUGUCACGCAUCGUCGCCCCCCCAUCCCCCGAGGAGCGCGGGCGGGGCGGAGACUUGCCUCCCGUGCGCCUCACGGAUCGCGGUUGGCCCAAAUACGAAUCCCCCGGCCUCGCGUKCCGCGACUUUCGGUGGUCGAAAGAAACCCGAUGCCCGUCGUGACCGCGCGGSCGUAGAGCCGGACCCCGUGAACCUGAAGCGUCGCCGCGAGAGACGCUCGCUACGCGAACCCAGGUCAAGCGGGGAUUUUAAUAAUAAAUUUAUAUUUAUUUAAUU